Clavulina sp. PMI_390 is the source of this 84-nucleotide non-coding RNA. NCBI's taxonomy places the organism in Eukaryota, Fungi, Basidiomycota, Agaricomycetes, Cantharellales, Hydnaceae. The record is from the annotation of a GenBank genome assembly.
AGCAAACUAGCUCAGUGGAAGAGCGAUGGGCCCAUACUUCAAGGUGUGACCCAUAGGUCCGACGAUCAAAACGUCGGUUUGCUA